This 289-nucleotide ribosomal RNA is filed under the name uncultured bacterium. Its description in RNAcentral is "partial 16S ribosomal RNA". It matches the Rfam family "Bacterial small subunit ribosomal RNA", at positions 773 to 1060 of the family's 1533-position model. The record is from RNAcentral.
GUGGAUUAGAUACCCUGGUAGUCCACACCGUAAACGUUGGGCGCUAGGUGUGGGACUCAUUCCACGAGUUCCGUGCCGCAGCUAACGCAUUAAGCGCCCCGCCUGGGGAGUACGGCCGCAAGGCUAAAACUCAAAUGAAUUGACGGGGGCCCGCACAAGCGGCGGAGCAUGCGGAUUAAUUCGAUGCAACGCGAAGAACCUUACCUGGGUUUGACAUAUGCGAGAACUCUCUAGAGAUAGAGAGCUCUUUGGACACUCGCAUACAGGUGGUGCACGGCUGUCGCCAACU